RNAcentral lists this small nucleolar RNA (112 nucleotides) under Mus caroli (Ryukyu mouse). Its description in RNAcentral is "predicted gene, 25866 (MGP_CAROLIEiJ_G0036290.1)". It matches the Rfam family "Small nucleolar RNA SNORA17". From Rfam's summary of the family: snoRNA ACA 17 belongs to the H/ACA family of snoRNAs and is predicted to guide pseudouridylation of the 28S rRNA at positions U4659 and U4598. It shares the same host gene together with ACA43. Lineage: Eukaryota; Metazoa; Chordata; Mammalia; Rodentia; Muridae. The record is from RNAcentral.
GGUGCUUCUAGAGCCAUUGCAGAUGUGGCUGCUGUGCUACAUGUGCAUCAGUUAGUGGCAGAGAGGAGAGAGGCUAUGUCUAGCCUCAGUUAAUGAUUAGUAGCCUAACACU